Molecule: transfer RNA, 74 nt
Filed under: Cryptococcus deneoformans B-3501A
Lineage: Eukaryota; Fungi; Basidiomycota; Tremellomycetes; Tremellales; Cryptococcaceae
Description: tRNA-Pro
Source: RNAcentral
GUUUCGUUGGUGCAGUGGUAGCAUGCCCUCUUAGGGUUUGGGGGUGGUCCUCGGUUCAAUCCCGGGACGAGACC